Molecule: long non-coding RNA, 2318 nt
Filed under: Triticum aestivum (bread wheat)
Lineage: Eukaryota; Viridiplantae; Streptophyta; Magnoliopsida; Poales; Poaceae
Description: long non-coding RNA (TAES_LNC025151)
Source: RNAcentral
AUGCAAACAGGCCCAUAGUCUCAAACUCUCAAUGCACCAGCAACUAACUUGAAAACUGAAAUUUUAAUUUGCAUUGCAGAAUGGCUUCAUCUCACACUUUCUUAGUUCCAAUACAUCUGUUUAAAAUCAUUAAUGCGGACGAAAAAGUUCAUAACGAAGCCAUGGUUUCUUCUCAACUGAAUGAUGGCACUACAUAUCAUGUUUGAAGAAAUAAACUAUCAGUUUCAUCACACGUUAGCAACGACUAGCCCAGGAUAUCUAUACACAACCAUCAGUUUGCUUUGACUACAAAAGUUGUACAUGGUUGGCUGGUGUUGCCAUUGGACUAGCAUGUCCAUCAGUCAGAAGUUUUCAAGCUAACUUAUCUAACUACUGUGGAUUCUAUCUGGAGUAACAAUGCAGAAUAUAGACAAAGCCAAGUCAGAGAACGCUUUCGAGUCCCAAAAUUCAAGAUAAUCUCUAGAGUAUAUAAGCCAUCACAGAAAGCAAACAUGUGGAUGUGUAGCCCAAAUAACAUAACUAUAAGGUUGAAUAUUUUAGCAAGGACGUAAAAAGGAAAACCAUGAACAAAAAAUUAGAGAGCGUAUGCAAUGAAGAUCUAAAAAAGAAUAGUUCCUUCAUGAGUGGUAUGUUUCCAAGAUUAACAUGAACAGGCCUUUAUAAACUCUCUAGGAAAUCGUAAAUGGAUGCAAAUCUCCUUCAUGUCAAGAAGGGAUGAGAGCUAUAAGAGGCAGAAUAGGCUAUUGUCAGAUCCUGCAAGCACUAACCAAACAGUAGGUAAAUAGAUGUUUUAAUGAACUACACAAACAACACAACAUACACAUUUCUAUUCUUGCAUUGACAUAUAUAAACGUGUCAGUAAAUAGUAUAAAAUGUUGCCAUCAGUCCGGUCUGGACCAUUGUCUCAGUAAAUAGUAUAAAAUGCUAAAGCAUACACUUCAUAAAGACAUUAGAUUCUCACUAAAUGGUGAGCUGCAUUUUGAGCCAACGGCCUACAUAAAAUUUACUUCUCAAAGCAUUGUCAAAAGGUAACAUGGGAAACCAAUUAUUGUGUUAAAACAUCUUUAGCUGAAAUUAGUUGUUACAUAUGAUUUUCUCCCAAAAAUCGGCCUGAUGACUUAAAACUUAUUUUCCCUAUUCCAGUUCAUCCUAUAUACCACGAAAAUGAGGAAAUUUAUUGGAACCUGUACGACAGAGACCAUAGCCAUGCAUCUGAUUGUUUACUUUCUUAAAUAAUGCCAAUGCUUAUAACCCAACUCUAUGUGAUAGUUCAAAGUUUAUUUAAGUGAGCAUCUCUCUUUCGCAGAUAACAUGUACAGAUGUGGGCCCUGCCCAGUUAUCCUACAGCCCACUAGGUAUUUCCAGUAGGACCAAUGGCUCCAAACCGUUACAUCUGAACCAAGUAAAGUUGUACUAUUUUAGCAUAACUUAAGUGAACUCACUUCCAGAGACUUUCAAUAGCUGAUAGCUGAAAGACUACAUCUAUAAUUAGUUAGCUAACUAGAGCAAAAGUGGAUUGCUGUGAAUCUGCAUAUGAGCAAACCUAAAUUACUUUUAGAUCAAACAGGAACUGAAAAUAAGAUUAAGCGAGAGACAGGUUAAUUGAUACUACUAAAUACGAAUCACUAAAACCAGGAGGCAACAUCCCCGCCAGUUGCUAUCAGAAAAGACUAUUUACCUAAAUAAGAUCCUCCAAUUAUCCACUAUGAAUUAAAAAAACAUUAAUAGAACAUUAGGAGUUCAUUACCCACAAUGAAGGAGACCUUACCUUGGCUCAUCGGGGCUGUUUGGAUGCCGCCCAUACCAGAUUUGCCAAAUCAGGGCUCGCCAAAAAAUUUGUGCACUAUUUUGCCGCGUGGAUACGACAACAACCUGAUGCUAGAACUGAACGAGCAACCAAAACUUUGGCGCAUAACCAAAAACUCUGCUUCCAACCAAAGGCCAACAAGCCAGUCAAUACCCAAAUAUUUUUGGUAAGGCUGUUGCUGGCUGGAUGCAAACAGGCCCAUUGUCUCAAACUCUCAAUGCACCAGCAACUAACUUGAAAACUAAAAUUUUAAUUUGCAUUGCAGAAUGGCUUCAUCUCACACUUUCUUAGGUCCAAUAAGUGUGUUUAAAAUCAUUAAUGCGGAUGGAAAAGUUCAUAACGAAGCCAUGGUUUCUUCUCAACUGAAUGAUGACACUACAUAUCAGGAUUCAGAAACAAACUAUCAGUUUCAUCACACGUUAGCAACGACUAGCCCAGGAUAUCUAGCAGACAUACAUCAACGGACAACCAGCACACAGUUACGAAUUUUCAUAACCCGUUCAUGGUUCAU